Molecule: ribosomal RNA, 301 nt
Filed under: uncultured bacterium
Lineage: Bacteria
Description: partial 16S ribosomal RNA
Rfam family: Bacterial small subunit ribosomal RNA
Source: RNAcentral
CAGCCGCCACGGGAAUACGAAGGGUGCAAGCGUUACUCGGAAUUACUGGGCGUAAAGCGUGCGUAGGUGGUUGUUUAAGUCUGCUGUGAAAGCCCUGGGCUCAACCUGGGAAUUGCAGUGGAUACUGGGCAACUAGAGUAAGGUAGAGGAUAGUGGAAUUUCCGGUGUAGCAGUGAAAUGCGUAGAGAUCGGAAGGAACAUCUGUGGCGAAGGCGACUAUCUGGGCCAUUACUGACACUGAGGCACGAAAGCGUGGGGAGCAAACAGGAUUAGAUACCCCCGUAGUCCCUGUCUCUUAUAC